Molecule: ribosomal RNA, 403 nt
Filed under: uncultured bacterium
Lineage: Bacteria
Description: partial 16S ribosomal RNA
Rfam family: Bacterial small subunit ribosomal RNA
Source: RNAcentral
AUUGAACGCUGGCGGCAGGCCUAACACAUGCAAGUAGAGCGAGAGGCGGACGGGUGAGUACUGUAUGUGGACUGCCCGAUAGAGGGGGAUAACUAAUGGAAACGGUAGCUAAUACCGCAUACUAUCGGAUAACCCAUAUUGGAUUGUCUAGUAGGUGAGCUAAUGGCUCACCUAGGCGACGAUCCCUAGCUGGUCUGAGAGGAUGAUCAGCCACACUGGGACUGAUACACGGCCCAGACUCCUACGGAGGCAGCAGUGGGGAAUAUUGCACAAUGGGCGCAAGCCUGAUGCAGCCAUGCCGCGUGUAUGAAGAAGGCCCUAGGGUUGUAAAGUACUUUCAGUCGGGAGGCGUUACCGACAGAAGAAGCACCGGCUAACUCCGUGCCAGCAGCCGCGGUAAUUC